Molecule: ribosomal RNA, 486 nt
Filed under: uncultured bacterium
Lineage: Bacteria
Description: partial 16S ribosomal RNA
Rfam family: Bacterial small subunit ribosomal RNA
Source: RNAcentral
AUUGAACGCUGGCGGCAUGCCUUACACAUGCAAGUCGAACGGCAGCACGGGUGCUUGCACCUGGUGGCGAGUGGCGAACGGGUGAGUAAUACAUCGGAACAUGUCCUUGAGUUGGGGAUAGCCCGGCGAAAGCCGGAUUAAUACCGCAUACGAUCUACGGAUGAAAGCGGGGGGCCUUCGGGCCUCGCGCUAUAGGGUUGGCCGAUGGCUGAUUAGCUAGUUGGGGGGGUAAAGGCCUACCAAGGCGACGAUCAGUAGCUGGUCUGAGAGGACGACCAGCCACACUGGGACUGAGACACGGCACAGACUCCUACGGGAGGCAGCAGUGGGGAAUGUUGGACAAUGGGCGAAAGCCUGAUCCAGCAAUGCCGCGUGUGUGAAGAAGGCCUUCGGGUUGUAAAGCACUUUUGUCCGGAAAGAAAUCCUUGGCCCUAAUACGGUCGGGGGAUGACGGUACCGGAAGAAUAAGCACCGGCUAACUACGUG